RNA transcript from Erpetoichthys calabaricus (reedfish), 2050 nucleotides. It is a transcript of the gene named PWWP domain-containing DNA repair factor 3A-like, with no coding region annotated. The record is from RefSeq and is a predicted model, not a curated record. Lineage: Eukaryota; Metazoa; Chordata; Cladistia; Polypteriformes; Polypteridae. The transcript is spliced from 5 exons.
CGCUGCUGCCUCGCAGUUAGGAGACCCAGGUUCAUUUCCCGGGUCCACUCUGCGUGGAGUUUGCAUGUUUUCCCCGUGUCUGCGUGGGUUUCCUCCGGGCGCUCCGGUUUCCUCCCACAGUCCAAAGACAUGCAGGUUAGGUGGAUUGGUGAUUCUAAAUUGGCCCUAGAGUGUGCUUGGUGUGUGGGUGUGUGUGUCCUGCGGUGGGUUGGCACCCUGCCCGGGAUUGGUUCCCUGCCUUGUGCCCUGUGUUGGCUGGGAUUGGACCAGCAGACCCCCGUGACCCUGUGUUCGGAUUCAGCGGGUUGGAAAAUGGAUGGAUGGAUGGAAGAAACUCUAUUAGACCAAAGAAGAAGCGACGAAACGAAUUGUUUGUUAUUUCUGACAAUGGAAGAUCUUAUCACGAUCAAAAAUACCACAGACAUUCCGUCCGUACUUCAAUCUUCAGAUGUGUUUUUGUGCCCUUUCUGUCAUCCACGACUGUAUUCUUCACGCUCGUAUAUACGAGCAAAUGAACACUUGCGAGAUCUCCGCAGAACAGCAGUUUCCUACGGAGUCAGGACCAAGAAGAUCAUGGCAGCAGUGAACUCGUUGAGGAAUAUACUGAUACAGGCACACCAAGUGUAGGAGAGCAGGCUGGCUGUGUGGCUGCAGUAGGGCAGCUGACUGAAGAACAAGUGGCUCAGGUUUUUGCAGCUGCAGAGAUCAGCAGGGCCUACAGGAGGACUCAACAUGAAAAACUGUUAGAGUUCAUAAUAAAGGACCAUGGAGCAGAUGAUCACUUGCUGGCUGUUGUAUCUCAUAAGGUAUCGUCCAAAUGGUUAAAAGAUUAUGAAAAUCCUAAAGGUCACCGGGUAAUGACUUAUAUAGAAGAUGAGGAGCUGAUAGAUGGCUUCUACAACUUCUUGGAUGAAGAGCUGUAAGCACUUUUGAGAGGAUUGACAGAGUUUGCAUCAUUUUGGAUGUGCUGAUGCCAGAGGUUAAUUAGCCUUCAGUAAAUCUCUAAUGAGUACCGAAAGUGUGUCUAUGAGUAACAUCCUCUCUUUUUCUGUCUUUUUGAUGGGCUCUUAUUAAAGCUAUACAAACAGUUGAGAGGACUUCUCUGCCAGAGGCAGAAAAUCUGUUCAUGGAUGGACCAGUAUACAGUGAGUGGUAUGUCAUGUGGAAAAUAAACAGUCCUUUCUUUUUCUUUUCAGCGCCAUUAUUCUGUUAAACGGAAUACCCUAUAGUAGUUGUGAAUUUAGACAAGAAUAUAAACUAAAUAUAUAUAAAUGUGAAUAUACAUGUUUAAAGUGACAUUUAAACUAUACAUUAGUACAUUUUUAGUAUUGGUAAAAUUACAUUUAGAAGUAUGCUAUAUGUAGCAUUUAUUCUAAACUGUACAAGGUCAAGAAUUGUGGUUUCAAAUGACAAAUACAGAAGUGUUUCUGGUUGGUAUGAUUAGAAUUUGUUCAUUUGUGAGGUUGUUUUUGUUUUGUUUUUUUAGUGAGAGGGAAGAGUUUGACAAACUUGUUUUGCAACAGUUGGAAGCAAAAGGAAAGCAACACUGAGGCAUUUAAACUCAGGAUUACAUCUCAACCCUACUCAAAUAAAUGUGUCUCUUUCUUUACUUCUCUUUUGCCUUUUUAUUUCUGUGUGUUAAGAUGACUGUGCAAAGUAGAGUUGUAUAUAUUUAAUGUAACUAUUGAUGUAAAUAAUAAAGGACACUUUCUGUUAUUGUUAAAGAUUGUUGAUUAAGUUCUGUAUAUUUGAAAUUGCGUGUCUGUUUUUAGACAAUUGAUGUCAUCUGGAUUUUUUCUUUAAUUGUUAUAACUGCUUUGUACAGUUGUUAUGCAUUUUACAUUGUUGUUUUAUUUUUAUAUAAUAUAUAGAAGCGGGCAUGCUGUUGUUUUAAUACUUCAGUAUAUUCCUUGAUCAGUCUGUUUGUUAAAUUUAAUCUUUGUGAAUUCUUUCUUUCAAUUCAACUGACCAAUCAUUAUUGAUAAUUGUAAAUAUUUCUUGAAAUUGUUGCACAAUUUAUAUUGAAUAAUUAUUAAUAAAAUCUUGUUUU